Long non-coding RNA from Ictidomys tridecemlineatus (thirteen-lined ground squirrel), 1083 nucleotides. RefSeq lists it as uncharacterized. NCBI's taxonomy places the organism in Eukaryota, Metazoa, Chordata, Mammalia, Rodentia, Sciuridae. The record is from RefSeq and is a predicted model, not a curated record.
UUUUAAUUCUCUGAUCAGACUUGAAAAUUCUUUUCCAUGGAGAGAAGCUAUCUUGUGACUAAAAAAGAACGCUGUUUGUCUCUCAAUAUUUUUUGAUGAAUUUAUGUAAGAAGACUGUUAGAAAAAGAAGGUAGUAUAAACUUGGUUCUGCCUCAGCUGGGGCUCAGAGGAAUGGAGCCUGCUGUCUAUGGACUGAGAACUCUGAAGCUGUGAGCGCCAAAACAAAGACUGACCAUAUUUAAAAGAACAAGAAAGCAUGUUUGGAAAAGAAUAUCAAGAGUGUUGCCAGGAAAUUGCCCAGAGACUACUAUGUGGCUGAGUGCCAAGUAUCAGAGCCCGAUUACAGGAAGUGAAGACAUCUUACAACUGGGUUUCCUGGUACCAAAGUUUUCGACUCUUUUCUCUCUUCAGCCCUGCUAUUAUUUAUGAGAGAGGACGUCAUAAGAAAAAGGGCAUGCCAUUGAGUCAAGUUGGUCACAUGAGAACAGCCAUUUGGAAAUUCUAAAAUUGAUGGCAUAUAAAAAUAAUCUACAAAUCUUACAUUUGACAAUGAAACGCUAAUAGUCCUCUUACAUCCUUUUAAAGAAACUGCCAGCUGAAUGGAAUGCAUGUAAUGGUCACGUCACAUGCUGCUGCCCUCCUGCUCUGAUUGGAUCCUACACUCCAGAUGAGGACACGGAGCCAAAAGGAAGCUGAGUGACUUGCCUGAGAUGGCCGAAUCUGUGAGGAGCGGGAUUGAGGUUUGAAGCUAGACCUGUGGUUCCAGAGCCCUCACGGCUUCCUUUUCUUCUGAGACAAAAAAAUUUCCUAGGUCUUUGUAAAUCCUUCAUUAUCUCAUUGCUACUCUCAGAGAUUUUAUUUUUUUCUAUAUAAUUUGAAGUAUGUGUCCAAAGGAGAAAAGUAUAUUCCAGUUGUUUCUGAACAUACUUGGAGUUAUAUGGAAUUCACUUACAUGCACUUAGAGAUGCUAUGGCCAUCACUAAGGUUUCUGUUACUUUGUAGCCUUGUCUCCCAGAAUCUCCUAACCUCUCCAUUCCUUUGCAUAAACUGUGGAAAUAAAUGAAAAAACAUUCUCUUUUAUCA